GGGCCCUUAGCUCAGGUGGUUAGAGCAGCGGACUCAUAAUCCGUAGGUCGCAGGUUCAAAUCCUGCAGGGCCCA
This 74-nucleotide transfer RNA is filed under the name Gemmatimonadota bacterium. RNAcentral describes it as "Gemmatimonadetes bacterium (groundwater metagenome) tRNA-Ile". It matches the Rfam family "tRNA". From Rfam's summary of the family: Transfer RNA (tRNA) molecules are approximately 80 nucleotides in length. Their secondary structure includes four short double-helical elements and three loops (D, anti-codon, and T loops). Further hydrogen bonds mediate the characteristic L-shaped molecular structure. tRNAs have two regions of fundamental functional importance: the anti-codon, which is responsible for specific mRNA codon recognition, and the 3' end, to which the tRNAs corresponding amino acid is attached (by aminoacyl-tRNA synthetases). tRNAs cope with the degeneracy of the genetic code in two manners: having more than one tRNA (with a specific anti-codon) for a particular amino acid; and 'wobble' base-pairing, i.e. permitting non-standard base-pairing at the 3rd anti-codon position. RNAcentral also lists the same sequence under 2 other names. Lineage: Bacteria; Pseudomonadati; Gemmatimonadota. The record is from RNAcentral.